Saccostrea cuccullata (small rock oyster) is the source of this 2038-nucleotide RNA transcript. RefSeq lists it as uncharacterized. The record is from RefSeq and is a predicted model, not a curated record. Lineage: Eukaryota; Metazoa; Mollusca; Bivalvia; Ostreida; Ostreidae. The transcript is spliced from 3 exons.
UUUGCUGAGAUGAGGAACUUGACAAAUCAGUUUUAUGCUCUCAGUCACAGUGAUAUCGUUUGUAUCUUUUCCAAAAACUUUGAAAGCGAUGGUGACUAGGUACUUUAUUGUAUCAAUACAUUAGGCCUACAUGUAAAUGGGUCUGAUAGUACUGUAUUAUUUAUGGAUUUAUCGACACUUUCCACGGGAAAUCCCGGCCCCGAAAGUAAUACGAUGGAGAGGCUUAUGAUCACUGUUGAUAUCAACUCAAAAGUAGCUCUUGCCAUCAAGAUGGUACUUUCUGGUAUAGGACCACCAACCCAUAGCAGACCAGGGGAUCUUGAUGUCAGCAUAAUAGUGAUUAUGGUUAAAUUCAUCAGUACAGAGUACAAGGUAUAUGAAUAUGAAGUUUAGACCAUUCAUGCUGAUGAUGAUUCAACUACUGCAGCUCGACGGAAGAAUGAUUUUCCACCCCUUCCAACAAAGAGCAGGACAAGAAUCGCUUGUUGAAAAUAAACUAACAUAGUCAAUAGACUACUUUUCUUUGUCAGCUUUAUAUUACCGGGUACAUGUAUCUCUUGAUUGAGUGUUACGUUUAAAGUGGAAACUAAUCACUCCACAUAUAGAUUUUUUUCCAUUUUUCAUAUUUAAUCUACCCUGUUUUAUGUCUGGUGUGGUAAUAGAUCACUCCACAUGCAGCCUUUCAUGUUUAAUGUACUAUGUUAUGUUUUGUAUAUGUCAGUUGCAGUAUUACACUGCUGUAGAGUGUAGAUUAUUCUUUUUAAAAAAAAUGUAUGCAUAAUUUAAUGUCGACUUGUGAUGUCGGGUUCAGUAAUAGGCCAAUCAACAGAUAUUCUCUAUUAUGCAUAAUCUACACUGUGAGUGUUUUUCAGGCUUUUUAAUAAGCUGCUCCAAAUAUUCAUGUAGAAUCUUUUUUUUUUUAACUUUUUAUAUGAAAUGUCCUGCAUCAAGUGUUUUGUCCCAGUGCAGCAUUGUCAUUUUGUUUUUAAUUUUUAGGUAUACGUAGUUUAUGUAAUUUUAUGUCUCAGGUCAAGGACGGUUUUAGACUAAGUCCAUUUCAUGUUUUUUUUUCUCUGUUUAGCGUCCAACCUUCAAUCAAAAACCUACCUACAUGUACCUAUUUGUAAAUAAAAAUAUAGCCUAAAAAAUAAAACACAGAAUGUACGUGUAUCAUGUCGAUAGUUAUAAUAAUAGUGUAAAUCUGAGGAUUUUAUUUCAUCAAUCUGCUUUUCUGGCAGAAAUAUCUAUUCUUCAGCAAAAUCAAAAUAAUAGAUUUAAAUGCCUAAAGUACACUACCUAUGACAUAUUUAUUGUACAUAUUUGAGAAAUUGACAGAACUCAAAGAUGUCAACAAAAAUAAUCAAGUGUAUGGGUUCUGAUUUUGUUUGAUUGUCUGAUACAUGUAGGUGUCAAAAACCAAGGUGCGAUUGAAUGCCAAACAGAAAAAGACUUGGAAUGGCCUAUUAAAUGUUAUUAUCCUACCUGCUCAUGGAAUAAAAUGACUUUUGAUCAAUUUGAAAGAGUACUGAUCAUAUUUUUUCAAUGAUAUUCUUAUUAUUCUAUGAAAUAGAAAUUUGUGAAUUUUGCAGUGCUAUGUCAGAUGGAUUUCUUUAUUCUGUAUGACCAAAAUGUAUUUUUUGACAAAUUAAGUAGAAUACAUUUGACAUGUUAAUAAUUAGGGGGAUUUUUGACAUUGCAAUGAAAAAAUAUCAGAUGCAUAAAAGGAGGGGGUGUAUUAGACCAUUCUGUAACUUAAUACAUGUAGUUAAUUGCCUCUUAAUGCAACCGAGAUUUCUGAGUGAGAAAUAGUAUUGGACAUUUUUGUCAUACAAUAUAUUUUUUAGAAAUCUAUAAGAAAACAUAGAAUUUGUUUGCAUGAAAGUAAUCAAAAGGGAUCACGUUGAAGAAUAUUUAAAUGUUUUUUUUUUAAUUACAUUUUUGUUCAAGUAUCUAUUGUUGAAAUAUAAAUUCAUAUUUUAAUUUUGUUGAGGAACUUUUUAUGGAUAAUUUCAAUAUUGGUUUAAUUACAUGUUUUAUU